GACGAACGCUGGCGGCGUGCCUAAUACAUGCAAGUCGAGCGGACCGGAUUGGGGCUUGCCUUGAUUCGGUCAGCGGCGGACGGGUGAGUAACACGUGGGCAACCUGCCCGCAAGACCGGGAUAACUCCGGGAAACCGGAGCUAAUACCCGAUCACACCGAAGACCGCAUGGUCAUCGGUUGAAAGGCGGCCCUUGGGCUGUCACCUGCGGAUGGGCCCGCGGCGCAGUAGCUAGUUGGUGAGGUAACGGCGCACCAAGGCGACGAUGCGUAGCUGGCCUGAGAGGGUGACCGGCCACACUGGGACUGAGACACGGCCCAGACUCCUACGGGAGGCAGCAGUAGGGAAUCUUCCGCAAUGGGCGAAAGCCUGACGGAGCGACGCCGCGUGAGCGAAGAAGGCCUUCGGGUCGUAAAGCUCUGUUGUGAGGGACGAAGGAGCGCCGUUCGAAGAGGGCGGCGCGGUGACGGUACCUCACGAGAAAGCCCCGGCUAACUACGUGCCAGCCGCCGCAGUAA
RNAcentral lists this ribosomal RNA (517 nucleotides) under uncultured bacterium. RNAcentral describes it as "partial 16S ribosomal RNA". It matches the Rfam family "Bacterial small subunit ribosomal RNA", at positions 28 to 523 of the family's 1533-position model. The record is from RNAcentral.